CUACGUGCCAGCAGCCGCGGUAAUACGUAGGUGGCAAGCGUUGUCCGGAAUUAUUGGGCGUAAAGCGCGCGCAGGCGGAUCAGUCAGUCUGUCUUAAAAGUUCGGGGCUUAACCCCGUGAUGGGAUGGAAACUGCUGAUCUAGAGUAUCGGGGAGGAAAGUGGAAUUCCUAGUGUAGCGGUGAAAUGCGUAGAUAUUAGGAAGAACACCAGUGGCGAAGGCGACUUUCUGGACGAAAACUGACGCUGAGGCGCGAAAGCCAGGGGAGCGAACGGGAUUAGAUACCCCGGUAGUCCUGGCCGUAAACGAUGGGUACUAGGUGUAGGAGGUAUCGACCCCUUCUGUGCCGGAGUUAACGCAAUAAGUACCCCGCCUGGGGAGUACGACCGCAAGGUUGAAACUCAAAGGAAUUGACGGGGGCCCGCACAAGCGGUGGAGUAUGUGGUUUAAUUCGACGCAACGCGAAGAACCUUACCAGGUCUUGACAU
Molecule: ribosomal RNA, 487 nt
Filed under: uncultured bacterium
Lineage: Bacteria
Description: bacterial SSU rRNA
Rfam family: Bacterial small subunit ribosomal RNA
Source: RNAcentral